This 182-nucleotide non-coding RNA is filed under the name Rahnella variigena. RNAcentral's name for it is "Lysine riboswitch". It matches the Rfam family "Lysine riboswitch aptamer". Rfam says of the family: Riboswitches are metabolite binding domains within certain messenger RNAs that serve as precision sensors for their corresponding targets. Allosteric rearrangement of mRNA structure is mediated by ligand binding, and this results in modulation of gene expression. The record is from RNAcentral. Lineage: Bacteria; Pseudomonadati; Pseudomonadota; Gammaproteobacteria; Enterobacterales; Yersiniaceae.
CCAGAAGAGGCGCGUCGCCCAGGAAGUGUAUCGGAGGAGCCGAAUCCUACGAAGGUACAUCAGGGGGAGCGACGCCGAGGUCUGAAGCCCGCGGCAGGCAUAUGAUCGACUACAGGGGCUGAAUCCCCUGGGUUGUCACCGGGCAUCCGAGAGGAUGUUGACAAGGUGGGGCGCUUCUGGGU